AUACGGAGGGUGUAAGCGUUGUUCGGAAUCACUGGGCGUAAAGGGCGCGCAGGCGGUUUGAUUAGUCAGAUGUGAAAGCCCACGGCUUAACCGUGGAAGUGCAUUUGAAACUGUCAGACUUGAGUAUCAGAGGGGAAAGUGGAAUUCCCGGUGUAGAGGUGAAAUUCGUAGAUAUCGGGAGGAAUACCGGUGGCGAAGGCGACUUUCUGGCUGAAUACUGACGCUGAGGCGCGAAAGCGUUGGGAGCAAACAGGAUUAGAAACCCGUGUAGUCC
This 274-nucleotide ribosomal RNA is filed under the name uncultured bacterium. Its description in RNAcentral is "partial 16S ribosomal RNA". It matches the Rfam family "Bacterial small subunit ribosomal RNA", at positions 523 to 796 of the family's 1533-position model. The record is from RNAcentral.